RNAcentral lists this ribosomal RNA (3269 nucleotides) under Durio zibethinus. RNAcentral describes it as "eukaryotic LSU rRNA". It matches the Rfam family "Eukaryotic large subunit ribosomal RNA". Lineage: Eukaryota; Viridiplantae; Streptophyta; Magnoliopsida; Malvales; Malvaceae. The record is from RNAcentral.
UAGUCAGGUGGGAUUACCUAUUGAGUUUAAGCACAUUGAUAAACAGAGAAAAAAGAACUUACCAAGAUUCUUUUAGUAAUGAUGAACGAACUGAGUAGAGCCUAGCUUGAGAAUCGAGCACCCAUGGCAUCUAAAUUGUAGUUUGAAAAAGCAUUCUCAGUAGUAAACUAGGUCGAACUCUCUUGGAAAGGGGCACUAAAAGGGUGAGAGCCUUAUUGUGUCGAGACCUUGUCACACCAUGAGGCAUUGUCUGUGAGUCAAGUUGUUUAAAAAUACAGCCCCAAUCGAGCUAUAAAUUCUGUGUGAGGGUAAAUACACUCGAGAGAUCGAUAGUGAACAAGUACCGUAAGUGAAAAAUGAAAAAGACUUUGAAAAGAGAGUCAAAGAGUGCUUGAAUUUAUUGGAAAGAAAGCAGAUGGGGCUAGUGAUGCACCCCAGUUGAAUGUAGAAUAGCAAAAGCCAAUCUAUCAAUCGACCAAUCUGUCGAUCGGCUUGGGGAGUGGACCAACUUAGCUCACAGCAGCAGCCCAAGCGUAAGCUUUUGAUAUUUCCUUAGAGACAUUAUCACCAUGAUUGUGGAAUGUAACACACACCACCUUGGUGUAACUUAGUAUCCAGUGCUCUUGGCAUCAACCUGUAGGCUACCAAUCUAGCCCGUCUUAAAACAUGAACUAAGGACUCUGACAUGUGUGUGAGUCAAUGGGCUAGAAAACUCAUAAGGCAUAAGGAAGUUGAUUGGUGGGAUACCUCAUAAGUGCACUGCCUACCAACCUUGAUAUUCUAAAAAGGGUUUAAAUGUGAGCAUGCAUGUCAAGACUUAAAAGAUGGUGAACCAUACCUGAGUAAAGUUAAAGCCAAAGAAAACUCUGGUGGAGGCCUACAGUGAUAUUGAUGUUGAAAUCAUUCAUCUAACUUGGGUAUAAGGGUAAAAAACUAAUCAAACCAUCUAAUAGCUAGUUCUCUUUGAAGUUUCCCUUAGGAUAGCUGCACCCUUAGUGAGUUCUAUAGGGUAAAAGCUAAUGAUUAAAGGCAUUAGGGGUGCAAUGCCCUUGACCUAUUCUCAAACUUUAAAUUGAUAGGAUGAUGCUGCUACUUCAUUAAGCCAUGCCAUGGAAUCAAUAGCUCUAAAAGGGCCAUUUUUGGUAAGCAGAACUAGCAAGGUGGGUUAAGUUGAAAGCCGAGUUACAGUGCCCAACUACAUACUAACUUAGAACCCACAAAGGGGUUGGUCAAUUAAGACAGCAUGAUGGUGGUCUUGAAAGUCAAAAUCUACUAAAAAGUAUGUAACAACUCACCUACCAAUCAACUAGACCCAAAAAUGGAUGGUGCUUAAGUGUGUGACCUAUACCUGGCUGUCGGGGAAAUGACCGAGCCCCAAUGAGUAAGAAGGCAAGGUGAUCAUUGCAAAACCCAAAGUAUGAGCCUUGGUAGAGCAACCGUCGGUGCAGAUCUUGGUGGUGGUAGCAAAUAUUCAAAUGAAAAUUUUGAAGGUUGAAGAGGGGAAAUGUUUCAUGUGAACUACACUUGCACACGGGUUAGUUGAUCCUAAGAGAUGAGGGAAAUUCAUCUGAUAGCACGUCCAAUGUUAGUUUUAAAAGAGAAUUAGGUUAAAAUUCCUAAACCAAAAUACGGUAGCUAAUAACAACAUUAAGGAGUCUAGAGAGAAUGGUGAUGGCCUAAGAAAGAGUUAUCUUUUCUAUGUAAUGGCCUACCCACCCUGGAAACGGCUUAGCCAGAGGUAAGGUCUAGUAACUAGAAGAGCACCGCACAUCAUGCAAUGUCUAGUACACCCUUGGGCCCUUAAAAAUCUAGAGGAUUGAGUACCAUUUGUGCUUGGUUAUACUCAUAAUCUCAUCAGGUCUCUUAGGUGAAUAGUCUCUUGUAGAUGGAAUAAUGUAGGUAAGGGAAGUUAGCAAAAUAGAUCUAUAAGCUCAAGAAAAAAUUGGCUUUGAAGGCUAGGCAUAGGGGUCUCAGUCUUGAACCAAUUGACUGACAAUGCAUUACUCUUGCUGGUCCCAUGGUGUGAGCAGGCCAUAGCUUACUAGUUAAGGGAUGGACUAGGAAUGCCUCCCUUGUGGGCCUUCUUCGAGUGAUGAACAAUCGACUCAAAACUAGUAUAGGCAAAGGGAAUUUAACUAUUUAAUUAAAACAUAGCAUUAUGAUGGUCCUUGUAAAUGCUCACAAAAUAUGAUUUUUGCCUAGUGCUUUGAUUGUCAAAGUGAAGAAAUUCAACCAAGCAUGGGUAAAUGGUAAGAGGAACUUUGACUCACUUAAGGUAGCCAUAUGCCUUGUCAUUUAAUUAGUAAUAGGCAAUAAUGGAUUAAAAAGAUUCUCACUGUCCUGUCUACUAUCUAGUGAAACCAUAGCCAAGGGAAUGAGCUUGGUAGAUUCUAUGGGGAAAUAAGACCCUAUUGAGCUUAACUUUAAUCCAACUUUGUGAAAUGACUUAAUAAGUGUAGGAUAAGUGACAGCCCUUAGGUGAAAUUGAAAUACCACAACUUUUAAUGUUGUUUUACUUAUUCCAUGUAUCAAAGGUGGGGUAUGACUUUUGGACCUAAGGCCAACCUCAAUUGGUUGAUCUUGGCAAAAACAUUGUUAGGUGGGGAGUUUAGUUGGGGUAGCACAUCUAUUAAAAGAUAAUGCAAGUGUCCUAAGAUGAGCUCAAUAAGAAUAGAAAUCUCAUGUGAAAUAAAAGGGUAAAAGCUCAUUUAAUUAUGAUUUACAGUAUGAAUAUGAAUCAUGAAAGCAUGGCCUAUCGAUCCGUUAGACCUUCAAAAUUUCAAGCUAAAGGUGCCAAAAAAGUUACCUCAAGGAUAACUGGCUUGCGACAGCAAUCAUUCAUAGUGAAAUUGCUUUUUCAUCCUUUGAUGUUAGCCUUUCCUAUCAUUAUGAAGCAAAAUUCACCAUGUGUUUGAUGUUUCACCCACCAAUAGGGAAUGUGAGCUUGGUUUAGACCAUCGUGAGAUAAGCUAGUUUUACCCUAUUGAUGGUAGCAUCGCAAUAGUAAUUCAACCUAGUAUGAGAGGAACCAUUGAUUCUCACAAUUGGUAAUCGCACUUGGUUGAAAAGUUGGUGGCUUGAAGCUAUCAUGCGCUAGAUUAUGACUAAAUGCCUCUAAGUCAGAAUCUAGGCUAGAAAUGAUGCAUGCACCUGUCACCUAAUUGCUGACCUACAAUAGAGCCCGAUGCCCCUUAAGGGCAUAUGCCAUAGGUGUAGCCCCUACAAUAGACAAGCUACACAAGCCUCUUUAGAGCUCAAUUCUCACCAAG